GGCGGGUGUUUUGCACGGGACAAGGAGUUCUUUUUUGUUGUUGUUAUUCUUUGCGUCAUUUCCAGAGAGACAGGAAGGAAAACAUAGUAAACAUUCUUCAAUUCUGCACAAAAGCCGAGAAGGGAUUUUCUUCAGGAACCUCCUUGUGGCUCUGCCAUGGCGGGGAGGGUUGGGGGUAAGAAAUAUAAGACCCAAUUCCCUGUGGAGGCGGGGAUUCGGUGAAACCAAUCCCUUGAAUGUGGGGUGGAACCAACAUGUAACUCAAUUUGCUUUGGCUCUCACUGUGCAUUUGAGCUAAAGCAAGGGAAGCAUUUCCCCUUCCCCUGGCUGAAAGCUCAGCUGACCCCGAGGCUCUUCUGGUCAUGCUUAGAUUCUUGCUUUGUCACCUGUCACCCAGGCUGGAAUGCAGUGGCAAGAUAGCUCACUCCAACCUCUGCCUCCCGAGUUCAAGCGAUUCUCCUGCCUCUGCCUCCCGAGUAGCUAGGAUUACAGGCACGCACCAAUACACCCGGGUAAUUUUUGUAUUUUUAGUAGAGAUGGGGUUUCACCAUGUUGGCCAGGCUGGUCUUGAACGCCUGACCUCAAGUUAUCCACCCGCCUCGGCCUCCCAAAGUGCCGGGAUUACAAGUGUGAGCCACCGCGCCUGGCUCACUUUUCUUCUCUCUUUACCUCUGUGCUCACAUUUUUUCCCCAGGGAGGGAAAAAAAAAUUGUGUAAAAAUAAAAAAAGAAAAAGAAACUUCCCUCCUUUCUUCUUUGCCUGUUACCUAACUCCCUUAUCCGUCAAAUCCUUCCCCAAAUUCCCAAAUUCCCAUUUUUUAUCAUCUCCUACGGAGAGCAGCUCCCUCCAAAGUUCCUUCCCAUUUACUCUCCAAGAACGAGCCCUGGGCAGGAGAGCUGGACAUUGCCUGGACCCACAUCAAAAGGCUCCUGCUGUGCUGGAAGGGUCAAAGCAUCCUAGGCCCAUCCUGGCCUUGUGAUCUGAGUCUGGGGCUGCGGUGGCCAGGUUGUCCAGUGGACACUGUAGAGGCAGCCUCGGGGUGAGAAGCCCCUCAUGUGGACCCGCAGCAGGGGACAUAAGUGGGAAGGAACCCAAAGGCUCAGGGGGAAGCAGGGGUGUCGCUACAUCAAGUAAAGCUCCUUCUCGCACCUGCCAGCAUGCUGGGAGGAUGCUACCUCUAGCAUCCUAGGGAUGGCAGAAAGGGGCAAGCAUGGCUCUGCCUCCUGCCUCUGUGCCUGGUGCAGGCUCCACUGUGGUGUGGGGUCUCUGGCAGUGAGGACUAGGCUACAGCCACCACUCUGGCCUGUGAAUCCUAAAGGAGCCAGGGCAUGACAGUCCCCACUGCCAACCUAGAGUCCCUCAAACUCUCUAUCUAGC
This 1377-nucleotide long non-coding RNA is filed under the name Homo sapiens (human). RNAcentral's name for it is "HSALNT0378095". The record is from RNAcentral. Lineage: Eukaryota; Metazoa; Chordata; Mammalia; Primates; Hominidae.